This 190-nucleotide ribosomal RNA is filed under the name uncultured Glomeromycotina. RNAcentral's name for it is "partial 18S ribosomal RNA". The stretch from base 36 to 190 matches the Rfam family "Eukaryotic small subunit ribosomal RNA", at positions 733 to 885 of the family's 1831-position model. Lineage: Eukaryota; Fungi; Glomeromycota. The record is from RNAcentral.
CACCUCUGGAGAAGCUCGAUGUCCUUAAUUGGGUGUCUUGCGGAACCAGGACCUUUACCUUGAAAAAAUUAAGAGUGUUUAAAGCAGGCAUUAUUGCUCGAAUACAUUAGCAUGGAAUAAUAGAAUAGGACGGCAUGGUUCUAUUUUGUUGGUUUCUAGGAUCACCGUAAUGAUUAAUAGGGAUAGUUGG